GAAAGUCUGAACAGAAGAAACUGAUGGGUAGGCUUUGCUAAAACCCUCUUUGUUCGCCGACUUGGACGAGCUGUGGGUUAGCUGAGUUACUGAGCACAUCGUGUUCUCGUAUCUGGAGGAAAACCGCUGUCAGAAGCAACGCGAAUGUCUGGAGUACACCGUGAUUUAUGGUGUCUGCGCCCUUCACUGCUGCUUCAGAAUUGCAAUUGCAGUUCUUGCACAGCUGUGUAGUUUUGGCAGCUGUUUACACGAGUGAAGCUAUCUCUGGCUGCAUGUUCUAUUGGCACAGCAUGCUCCAGAUCCACACGGUGCACUUGGAGGGCCCUGACAAAGUGAGAGAUCAUAGUACUGAACUGCAGCUGAUUUUGUGGCUUAGAAGGAAGAUAUUGCUCCAGUGAACUAAUAAGGAUAGCACCAUGUUUUUGAAGGCAGCAGUUUUAGUUUGGUUUUAUUACUUCAAGUUCUAUUCUACCCUCUUUGAAGGUAAGUAUAAAUUCUUGUGGUAUGUUCUAUGUAGCUUCACUUCUAGAUUCACAAUUGCCUUUCAUUGUCUUGAGUGCUAUUCUACUUGUAAGCUGCAGUAAAACUGUUAAAUGUGUUGGUUUGGGUUUUUUUUGGUGAAGCUGAGUGUGUUUACUAUGCUACUGCUAUACUUUUCCUGCUUAACAUACUAUUCCAUUUUCAAAUUGUUUACUUCCAAAUUUCAAAUCUUUCACUAGUUUCUUGAUCAGUAUCAGAGGUAAAUUGACACUCCCUAACAAUUUUCUUUAUCUGAAGAAAAUUGUCCCUAGCACAAUCUACAGACUGGUGUAUGGUGUCCUGCUGUUUUGCUGCUGUUAUAGGUGUCUAGGGAGGUAAUGCCCUUUAAUUUCAGCAAGAUUCUGCCAUGUGCCUACUUCUAUCUGUCAGAUUCACAUAUCACACAGGUAUUUCCCAUCUCGGGGAUGAAUAUAAAAGAUAUUUGACAUUUGUGGAUAAAUAUUUGGCUUCCACUCUUCCCUGAGACUUGCAGCUGUCAUAAUUUAGGAGAACUCAUGCUUACUGCCUGUGAAAGGCUGGACAGAGCUCCUGCCAGAGCCAUGAAAAUCCUCUCUUUGGUCAGCCAGCAGACUGGCUGUUGAGCAACUUGAGACCCUCCCUUUCCCCAGAGACUGGGUAUUUUUUUACUGCAGUGCUUCCAGGCACUCCUGCAUGGAGGAGAGAAAGCCAUUGGAAAUGUUUGGUCUCUUACCGUGAUGGUAUAGAAGGAACUGCAGAACUUGGCUGGCAAGGCAGAGUUUGAUAAGCACUCAGGCUCUCUAUAAAACAGAUUGUUUGUUUGGCAGUUGAUGACUCCUUUGGAAUCAGUAAUUACCAGGGCUGAGAGCAGGACUAAAGUUUAUAGUUUGCAGGUUAAAUAAUCCUCUCCUAAAAGAUGUGCAGGUUUUGAAAUAU
Molecule: long non-coding RNA, 1434 nt
Filed under: Parus major (Great Tit)
Lineage: Eukaryota; Metazoa; Chordata; Aves; Passeriformes; Paridae
Description: lncRNA (ENSPMJG00000008214.1)
Source: RNAcentral